AGUCUCUUCGGGGAUGAUUAAACCGGCGCACGGGUGAGUAACACGUGAGUGACCUGCCUUUUAGACUGGAACAACUUACCGAAAGGUGAGCUAAUGCCGGAUGAGUUAUAUAAGUGCAUGUUUAUAUAGGAAAAGUUGGGGAGACCUGACGCUGAAAGAUGGACUCGCGUCCCAUUAGCUAGUUGGUAGGGUAAUGGCCUACCAAGGCGACGAUGGGUAGCCGGCCUGAGAGGGUGGCCGGCCACACUGGGACUGAGACACGGCCCAGACUCCUACGGGAGGCAGCAGUGGGGAAUUUUGCGCAAUGCUCGUAAGAGUGACGCAGCGACGCCGCGUGAAUGACGAAGGCCUUCGGGUCGUAAAGUUCUUUCGACAGGGAAGAAAAUGCCUAUAAGUAACUGUGUAUGUAUUGACGGUACCUGUAUAAGCAGCCCCGGCUAACUCCGUGCCAGCAGCCGCGGUAAUACGGAGGGGGCGAGCGUUGUUCGGAGUGACUGGGCGUAAAGAGCACGUAGGCGGUGUUGUAAGUCAUUAGUCAAAGACUAGAGCUCAACUUUAGUAAGGCUAGUGAUACUAUAAUACUAGAGUAUCAGAGAGGAUUGCAGAAUUCCUGGUGUAGCGGUGAAAUGCGUAGAUAUCAGGAGGAAUACCGUUAGCGAAGGCGGCAAUCUGGCUGGAAACUGACGCUGAGGUGCGAAAGCGUGGGUAGCAAACAGGAUUAGAUACCCUGGUAGUCCACGCUGUAAACGAUGGAUGCUAGGUGUUGGGCUUUUAAG
Molecule: ribosomal RNA, 776 nt
Filed under: uncultured bacterium
Lineage: Bacteria
Description: bacterial SSU rRNA
Rfam family: Bacterial small subunit ribosomal RNA
Source: RNAcentral